UACGUAGGGGGCGAGCGUUGUCCGGAAUCAUUGGGCGUAAAGAGCGCGUCGGCGGUCCGGUAAGUCCGCUCUGAAAGUCCGGGGCUCAACCCCGGGAGGCGGGCGGAUACUGUCGGGCUAGAGUCCGGAAGAGGCGAGUGGAAUUCCUGGUGUAGCGGUGAAAUGCGCAGAUAUCAGGAGGAACACCAAUGGCGGAGGCAGCUCGCUGGGACGGUACUGACGCUGAGGCGCGAAAGCGUGGGGAGCAAACAGG
RNAcentral lists this ribosomal RNA (253 nucleotides) under uncultured bacterium. RNAcentral's name for it is "partial 16S ribosomal RNA". It matches the Rfam family "Bacterial small subunit ribosomal RNA", at positions 524 to 776 of the family's 1533-position model. The record is from RNAcentral.